CAGUCGCCACGGGAAUACGUAGGGGGCAAGCGUUGUCCGGAAUCAUUGGGCGUAAAGCACGUGUAGGCGGCUCGAUAAGUCUGCUGUGAAAGUCCAGGGCUCAACCCUGGAAUGCCGGUGGAAACUGUCGAGCUCGAGUCCGGAAGAGGCAAGUGGAAUUCCUGGUGUAGCGGUGAAAUGCGUAGAGAUGUGGAGGAACACCAGUGGCGAAGGCGACUCUCUGGUCUGUAACUGACGCUGAGGAGCGAAAGCGUGGGGAGCGAACAGGAUUAGAUACCCCUGUAGUCCCUGUCUCUUAUAC
This 301-nucleotide ribosomal RNA is filed under the name uncultured bacterium. RNAcentral's name for it is "partial 16S ribosomal RNA". It matches the Rfam family "Bacterial small subunit ribosomal RNA", at positions 509 to 807 of the family's 1533-position model. The record is from RNAcentral.